GUUUGAUCAUGGCUCAGAUUGAACGCUGGCGGCAUGCCUUACACAUGCAAGUCGAACGGCAGCACGGGAGCAAUCCUGGUGGCGAGUGGCGAACGGGUGAGUAAUGUAUCGGAACGUACCUUUCAGUGGGGGAUAACGUAGCGAAAGUUACGCUAAUACCGCAUAUUCUGUGAGCAGGAAAGCAGGGGAUCGCAAGACCUUGCGCUGAUUGAGCGGCCGAUAUCAGAUUAGCUAGUUGGUGGGGUAAAGGCCUACCAAGGCGACGAUCUGUAGCGGGUCUGAGAGGAUGAUCCGCCACACUGGAACUGAGACACGGUCCAGACUCCUACGGGAGGCAGCAGUGGGGAAUUUUGGACAAUGGGGGCAACCCUGAUCCAGCCAUGCCGCGUGAGUGAAGAAGGCCUUCGGGUUGUAAAGCUCUUUCAGCCGGGAAGAAAUCGCAUGGGCUAAUACCCUGUGUGGAUGACGGUACCGGAAUAAGAAGCACCGGCUAACUACGUGCCAGCAGCCGCGGUAAUACGUAGGGUGCGAGCGUUAAUCGGAAUUACUGGGCGUAAAGCGUGCGCAGGCGGUUUAGUAAGACAGGCGUGAAAUCCCCGGGCUCAACCUGGGAACUGCGCUUGUGACUGCUAAGCUAGAGUACGGCAGAGGGGGGUGGAAUUCCACGUGUAGCAGUGAAAUGCGUAGAGAUGUGGAGGAAUACCGAUGGCGAAGGCAGCCCCCUGGGCUAGUACUGACGCUCAUGCACGAAAGCGUGGGGAGCAAACAGGAUUAGAUACCCUGGUAGUCCACGCCCUAAACGAUGUCAACUAGGUGUUGGAAGGGUUAAACCUUUUAGUACCGCAGCUAACGCGUGAAGUUGACCAA
RNAcentral lists this ribosomal RNA (867 nucleotides) under uncultured bacterium. RNAcentral's name for it is "bacterial SSU rRNA". It matches the Rfam family "Bacterial small subunit ribosomal RNA", at positions 11 to 872 of the family's 1533-position model. The record is from RNAcentral.